Molecule: long non-coding RNA, 6729 nt
Filed under: Malus domestica (apple)
Lineage: Eukaryota; Viridiplantae; Streptophyta; Magnoliopsida; Rosales; Rosaceae
Description: long non-coding RNA (MDOM_LNC014374)
Source: RNAcentral
GAAGUAAAACUUACUGAAAUUGGUGUCUACGUGAUCGUGGGUCUCCAGGAGUUCGAUGGUGGUCUUAACUCCGUCGUUGGUGGAAGUUUAAGGUUGUUUUGUGUUGGUUUGUUCGACGGAGAAGAGAGUGACAGAGAGAGAGAGAUUCGUGAGGGAGGAGAGAGAGACAGUAUGCAGAAAAAUAGGGAGAGGAUUGAGGGGUGUGGGAUCCACGUGUCCAAUUCAAUCCAAAUUGUUAAAUUUUCGCCCCUUAGUCCCGUUUAAGGGCAUUUUCAUCUUUUCAUGUCCUCGGAAUUAAAAUUCCGGGACGGGCUGUGACAAUCUUCCCUCCUUAUAGAAUUUCGUCCCCGAAAUUCCAGCAACCAACUAAAUCAACCAUACUCCAACAAUUUGCACAGUACGGAAGCUUUAAGAUACAAUUGAUAAGUUGAUACACCCAAAGGUGUGGUGACUACGAGGAAUUCGACGGUGUUCUGACAGAUUGGACAAAAUUAGGACUCACCUUUGGGUGUAUCAACUUAUCAAUUGUAUCUUAAAGCUUCCGUACUGUGCAAAUGGUUACGUCACUCUCAAGUGACGGCCAGCAUGCCCUCCUUCGGGACGGGGUGUGUCAAAGUCACCCUAGAUUUCACUACUAAAUUAUAGCUCAAAUUUCUUGUUAUAAAAAAAAACCCCACAAUUUGUGUGCAUAUCACCAAAAACGUUCCCUCUCAAACACUUCAACGGCGAUCAGUAAUGCUAUUGGAUCUCUUCUGGACGAGAGAGGAUCUUCGUCAGAUUCUCUUUGUAAGGAUUUUGGGGAUCUUCUGUUCAUCGUACAACGUGCUGUCAUCAGGUACUGUUUAUAUUUAAUUUUAAAUAAAAAAAUUUACAAUGAUUUCUGACCGCACAAUGUACGAUGAACGGAUGCAAUUUGAAGAUCAUCGGGAUCCUCACAAAAAGGAUCCGGCGAUGAUCCUCACUCCUAGAUGGUCUUCAUAAUCUUCUAUCCUUUUGAUAUGUAGCACAUCUUACAUCGCAUAUGUCAAAACCAAACAUCCAUUCGAAACAAUAUGUGGCGAACUAAUUACCACCUAUUCCCUAUUUCAUAAUCUAAAAUUGUAAUUGAUAACAAAUAUAAUGUAUAUUUCGGCUAAUGACAUUUUCAUUAAUCAACAAUGUAGCGAUCACAUUCCAUUAGACUAUCUCCAAGCCUUUAGGCUAAUUUUUUUCUUAAAGUAACUUUUUUAAAAGAAAACAUUAUGUAGACCCUAAUUUAAUUUUAUGAACAAUUUAACCUAAAAAUAUUUAGAUUCCGACAAAUAUUGAAAAAUCACUAAUGAGACUCAUGAAACACAUAAAAUAUUUUUUUUAAUUACUUUAGCCGUUGGAUUUAAAUUUGGACAUUUAUAUAUUUUUUUUUACUGUUGGAUUUCAUCAAAUUAGAUCUUAAUAGUUGGAUUCAAUGAAUUUAUAAAUAUAAAACUAAAAAAAUAUAUACGUAUAUGGUGUACCAGCAGCUAGACCUGGCAUUCGUGUCGUGUUUUCCGUGUUCGUGUCUGUAGACAUCGAAAUUUCGGUAAAUAAAUGUUGACCGAUAAAUCAAAGUUUCAGCGCUUAUGUAUUACAUAAAUUUUACACGUAGCGUGUGGCUAAACAAAAAAUCGAGAAUCAUCGGAAAAGUCAUCAAACAGGACACGUGUCAACACCUGGCAGAAACGACUUAUUUUAUCUGGAAUAUUAUAUUCAAAAUUAGGCCUUGGAAAAUUCUAUAAAUAGAAGCCAAUUUCAUUCAUUUGGGGGAGGAAUUCAUAUUAGGCAAAAAACCUUGAAGCUCUGAAACUCUAAAACUCCGAAGCUCUCAAGCAUCCAGGUUCCCGAAGAAUCAAGAAAGCGUUCUUUGUUCUUCGUUCAUCGUUCUUCCAAGAUCAAGCCCCGACGGCCUUUGGAUUAACAAUCACCAAUUCAAGAUCAAGCCCCGACGGCCCUUGAAGAAAGUGUUCUUCGUUCUUCGUUCAUCGUUAUUCCAAGAUCAAGCCCCGACGGCCCUUGAAGAAAGUGUUCUUCGUUCUUCGUUCAUCGUUCUUCCAAGAUCAAGCCCCGACGGCCCUUGGAUCAACAAUCACCAACUCAAGAUCAAGCCCCUACAGCUCUUGAAGAAAGUGUUCUUCAUUCUUCGUUCAUCGUUCUUCCAAGAUCAAGCCCCGACGACCCUUGGAUCAACAACAUCAACAAAUCCACACAUCCAACCGUUCUUCAAGAUCAAGUCCAAAAGCCCUUGAAGAUCCGUUCAUCACCGUUAUUCAAGAUCAAGCCUUAACGGCCUUUGAAGAAACACUCAUCCUCAAGAUCAAGCCCCAACGGCUCCUUGAAGAUCCGCUCAAAUCCACCUUCAAAUAUCAAGCCAACGGCCCCUUGAAGAAACUUCCAACAGUUCAUCCAAGAUUAAGCCUCGACGGCCCUUGGAUCAAUGAAACAUCCACAAAUCAACACCUUACAGAGAUCGAAUCAAAUGAUCAAAAUAGAGAGAGAUUGUAACCCAAAACCAUCAAAUACAAAUAUUAUUUUGUGCACGUUGUUCUUGUCUCUUUCGUUUCAGGAAAUUUUCGUGUUCACAAAUUGGCACGCCCAGUGGGACAAUCUCUACCUUUCAUCUCUUUCUCCAUUCAAAGAAAUUCGAGCACACUUCCAAAAUUGAUGGCAUCAAGGAAUGCUCAAACUGUUCCCGUAACUGGCGCAAAGAACAAGAGCGUCAUCAUCGCAAGUGGUGUCAUUUUAGGCAUCACGACUCGAAGCAAGGCAAGAGCUACUUCUGCCGCCUCUUCCACCUUUGCAUCAAUUAUGCCAACGGAACAAGAGCACCCAAGGCACGAGCCUUUGAUCACCUUAGCCUCACCAAGGGCACCAAGGGGCGAAAGUCCAAGGAAAUACUCCGAAUCCAUGCUCUCCGAUGUCGAUUCGAGCGGCAGUUCAGCCAUGCAAGUCAUGACCAUUUGAGCAACUUCAAUCGAUGAGCAGCUGGCUCAAAUGAAUGAAGCAAUCGCAAGGCUAACCCGAAUUAUGGAAGAAAAAGACUUGCAAAUCGCUGCACUCGUCAGCCGACUGGAGCCACAGGACGGCGAUAACCCUAACCCAGAAGAUGAGCCUACGGUGGAGAGAAUCGAUGCGAAGCUGGAGCCAGACCAAGCAGCGGCACUCAUGGGAUCUCUUUCUAUCCAGCAGCUGCAAGAGAUGAUCGCCAACACCAUCAAGGCACAGUACGAAGGGAGCUCAAAUACCUCCGGGUUGUACUCGAAGCCGUAUUUAAAGAAGAUCGACGCCUUAAGGAUGCCGAGGGGUUAUCAACCGCCAAAGUUCAUGCAAUUUGAUGGAAAGGGAAACCCGAAACAACACGUUGCCCACUUUGUUGAAACUUGCAACAACGCAGAGACCGAAGGGGACUACCUCGUCAAGCAGUUUGUGCGCUCGCUGAAAGGAAACGCCUUUGAGUGGUACACGGACCUAGAACCUGAGUCCAUCAACAGCUGGGAGCAAUUGGAACGGGAAUUCCUCAACCGCUUCUACAACACCCGCCGCACUGUGAGCAUGCUAGAGCUAACGAGCACAAAGCAGUGGAAGGACGAGCCAGUCAUUGACUACAUCAACAGAUGGCGCACUCUAAGCCUCGACUGUAAAGACAGGCUCUCGGAAACCUCUUCAAUCGAGAUGUGCAUCCAAGGCAUGCAAUGGGGUUUGCAAUACAUCCUUCAAGGCAUUAAACCACGGACAUUCGAGGAAUUAGCCACUCGCGCCCAUGACAUGGAGUUAAGCAUCGCCCAUCAUGGGAAGAAAGAACCGAUCUCUGACUACAAGAUUGACAAAGUUCUUGAGACAAAAGUGGAGAAGGCUGCGUGGAAAUCCACCAAGGAAGUAAUGACGGUCAACACAACUCCAGUCAAAAUCCCUACACGAGGCAAGGCGAUUCAAACCGAAGCUUUUCGUGAUCAAGAGAUGCGUAGACGUACUUUGAAGGAGCUUGAGGAGAAAACUUAUCCAUUCCCCGACUCUGAUGUGGUUGCCAUGUUAAAAGACUUGCUGGAAAAGAAAGUGAUCGGCUUGCCUGAGUGCAGACGGCCAGAAGAGAUGAAUCGCACCGACAGUCCAAGGUACUGUAAAUUCCACCGCUUCAUCAGUCAUCCGACAGAAAAGUGCUUCGUGCUGAAAGAUCUCAUCAUGAAGCUGGCUCAAAAAGGAAUCAUCGAGCUAGAUCUUAACGAUGUGUGAAGUCAAACUAUACCACCAUCACUUUUGGCUCUUCCAGCUCAAAGUUUUCACCUCAACCGCUGGGGGCAUCCUCAAAGACAAGCAAAGUUGAAGGAUGGACUCAAGUCACUCCUAAGAAAUUGCACAAGAAGCAUACGUCUCCUCCACAAGUCCGCCAAUCGGAAAGGGGGCAAAGCAGCUCUUGUCAACCUUCAAAGCAACGUGAACGUGUUGAAGAUGAUGAAAUUGUGACACAAAGAUCGUCUGUUGCCAUCACGAUGCGCGACUUCUUGCCCGAAGACUUCUUCAAUCACUCGGUCAAGGCUCCUUACUAUGAAGAUUGUGAGGAACGCCUUUCCAAAAUUGCUUGACAAAUUCACCAAUUCUCCUCGCCCGCACGAGUCUAAACUGCAUGGCACAAAGCUCCUGGUCUGCACGAGCAUAAAAGGCAACAUCAAUGCUCCUUGUUCGCACGAGCCUAAACUGCACGAACCAAUGCUCCUUGUUCGCACGAGCCUACGAAAAACUGUAACCUCCUUGUCCGCACGAGCCUAAACUGUAGGACACAAAGCUCCUUGUCCGCACGAGCCUAAACUGUAGGACACGAUGCUCCUUGUUCGCACGAGCCUAAACUACAUGAACGGAAGCUCCUCGCCUGCCCGAGUGUAAACUGCACACGGCAACAAGGCUUCUCGCCUACACGAGCCUAAACUGCAUGGCGCAACGCUCUUGAUCCGCACGAGCAUAAAAGGCGACACCAACGCUCCUUGUCCGCACGAGCAUAAAAGGCGACAUCAAAGCUCCUGGCCCGCAAGAGCAUAAACUGUGUACGGCAAAAUCAUUAUUAAAAUCACUGUUAAAUUCAUCGCUCAUUUGAACUACGUUUUGACUUGAUAUCUUUCUUUGGAAGGGUACGUAGGCAACUCGAAUAUUCAAAAUUUGAGUUCAGUCACACCAAAAUAAGGAAUAAAGAUUUAAUUAAAAGUUUUGAUGUUAUUACAAUUUCUUUGUACAAAAAAAAAGAAAAAAAAAAGAUACAUGUUUUAUGUAUUUACAAAAAAAAAAUACAUAUGUUUUAUGUAUUAAAAAAAAAAAUAUAUAUAUAUAUAUAUAUGUAAAUGUGAAGCGGUUGCUAUCAUUUGCAUUGCUGCUUGAGCUUCACGUGAAGAAGGCAUAGUAUCUGCAACGCUGUCUCUGUGAGGUCCAAAAGAAUCAAGUCCUGUUUCUGCUCCUUUCUCAUCCUCAUUUCAAAUCUUCUUCAACGCCUAACCCGAGAGUCAGGCCCGGCACGAAGCCCAUUUGAACCAUAGCAGCUGAGGUGCUGAAAUGGGCCACGACGUACACGUCGAGUCAUCAAGACCUCUCAUUCCUGUUUUGGACCCCACAUCCGGAGCACAGUACCAUCAUCAUCCCCAGCAGCUCGAUUCAUCUUCAGCCCACAAACUCCCUCAAGCCACAGGCCCAGGUCUCCCUUCAAUUUUACAAGCCUAGAUGCCAAUAGCCCAUCAAGCAGCGUGUAUCUUCCUCUCUCUCUGCCGCUUCCACCGAAACAUCAAGCCACAGUUGAUAACCCUUAUCAUAUUGAGUCCAUCAAUAGAGUCCGGGUUAUUUGUGGCCUACCUCUGCGAGUCGUAGAAGCCAGUAGCCGGCGUCUUGCACGCGUACGGGAUCAACACUACCAGGCUUAUAAUCUGCCGAGGAAGCAAUGGCACCUGCAAAUGGAACGUCCCUUCUAGCUCGUCUUUCGAGUUCUCUACUCCGUCUCUCGGAUUGAACACGCUACUGCAGUUUAGCAGCCAUCCAGGCCCAAGUAGCAGCCUACAAGCCCACUUCCUUGUAUGCCGAUAGUGAAUCUCCAUCAGGCAGGUUCGUUUCAACGGUGCAGACCCAUCAUCAAGGCCCUCGCCUCUGGUCUCGACGCGGCAGAGUAGUGGAUAAACUCCAUCACCCAGUCUAUUGCUUCCACCGUUGCUACACACGGUGCGCACACCCGGAGCAAGUGGACAUUCUUCCAGCCCACGUUCCUUGUCAACGAAAAGAAGACCUCCUCCUCACCAUCACCAUCUUCAACUUCAGUUUCAACCUCAUGAUCUCCACCACCCUUUUUUGCCGCCUGUUCACGAAGAUGGGUGCAGCGUUAUCACCGACGAGGUUGCGGAGCUGAGAAAACGCACGGCAAUGAGCGAGGUUCAAGGCAGGCGUCGGAGAUGUCGAGUACAUGGAAGGAAGAGGGGUCAACACCGGCGUUUUGGGACUGGUAGUCGAAGAACUUCUCGAGGAAGGUGAUGACGUGUGGCUUCGAAGAUCUGUACUGAUACAUCCGACGCUUAUGCUGGAAUCCACUGGUCAAACUGGCUACGAUGCUUUGACAUUGGCGGGUGUUGAUGGAGGUGCAGCGUUGCUGCUGCUUUGUUCACCCAUUUCCUUCGCGCUGUGGGCGAUUGACUCGGAAAGUUUGCUUCAACUGAGGCCUUAGAAGUAGCGGUCCGCAGUUGGCGGCGAUUAUGA